UACGUAGGUGGCAAGCGUUGUCCGGAUUUACUGGGCGUAAAGGGCGUGCAGGCGGUUUGUUAAGUGCAGGGUGAAAGCUCCCGGCUCAACUGGGAGAGGUCCUUGCAUACUGGCGAACUCGAGGGAGGCAGAGGAAAGUGGAAUUCCCGGUGUAGUGGUGAUAUGCGUAGAUAUCAGGAGGAACACCGGUGGCGAAGGCGGGUCUCUGGGCAGUAACUGACGCUGAGGAGCGAAAGCGUGGGGAGCGAACAGG
This 253-nucleotide ribosomal RNA is filed under the name uncultured bacterium. Its description in RNAcentral is "partial 16S ribosomal RNA". It matches the Rfam family "Bacterial small subunit ribosomal RNA", at positions 524 to 776 of the family's 1533-position model. The record is from RNAcentral.